CCUACGGGAGGCAGCAGUGAGGAAUAUUGGUCAAUGGCCGAGAGGCUGAACCAGCCAAGUCGCGUGAGGGAUGACGGCCCUACGGGUUGUAAACCUCUUUUGCCGGGGAGCAAAAAACGGGACGCGUCCCGCCUCGAGAGUACCCGGAGAAAAAGCAUCGGCUAACUCCGUGCCAGCAGCCGCGGUAAUACGGAGGAUGCGAGCGUUAUCCGGAUUUAUUGGGUUUAAAGGGUGCGCAGGCGGAAGCGCAAGUCAGCGGUAAAAUUGAGAGGCUCAACCUCUUCGAGCCGUUGAAACUGGUGUUCUUGAGUGGGUGAGAAGUAUGCGGAAUGCGUGGUGUAGCGGUG
This 347-nucleotide ribosomal RNA is filed under the name uncultured bacterium. RNAcentral's name for it is "partial 16S ribosomal RNA". It matches the Rfam family "Bacterial small subunit ribosomal RNA", at positions 338 to 683 of the family's 1533-position model. The record is from RNAcentral.